This 740-nucleotide ribosomal RNA is filed under the name uncultured archaeon. RNAcentral describes it as "bacterial SSU rRNA". It matches the Rfam family "Archaeal small subunit ribosomal RNA", at positions 1 to 750 of the family's 1478-position model. The record is from RNAcentral.
UUCCGGUUGAUCCUGCCGGACCCGACUGCUAUCAGAGUGGGACUAAGCCAUGCGAGUCGACGUAGCAAUGCGUGGCGAACGGCUCAGUAACACGUAGUCAACACGCCCAGGGGACGUGGAUAACCUCGGGAAACUGAGAAUAAACCACGAUAGGUCACGAUUUCUGGAAUGGAUCAUGGCCUAAAUCUACAUGGCCCCUGGAUUGGACUGCGGCCGAUCAGGCUGUUGGUGAGGUAAUGGCCCACCAAACCUGUAACCGGUACGGGCUCUGAGAGGAGGAGCCCGGAGACGGGCACUGAGACAAGGGCCCAGGCCCUAUGGGGCGCAGCAGGCGCGAAACCUCUGCAAUAGGCGAAAGCCUGACAGGGUUACUCUGAGUGAUUUCCGUUAAGGAGAUCUUUUGGCACCUCUAAAAAUGGUGCAGAAUAAGGGGUGGGCAAGUCUGGCGUCAGCCGCCGCGGUAAUACCAGCACCCCGAGUGGUCGGGACGUUUAUUGGGCCUAAAGCAUCCGUAGCCGGUUCUGCAAGUCUUCCGUUAAAUCCACCUGCUUAACAGAUGGGCCGCGGAAGAUACUAUAGAGCUAGGAGGCGGGAGAGGCAAGCGGUACUCGAUGGGUAGGGGUAAAAUCCGUUGAUCCAUUGAAGACCACCAGUGGCGAAGGCGGCUUGCCAGAACGCGCUCGACGGUGAGGGAUGAAAGCUGGGGGAGCAAACCGGAUUAGAUACCCGGGUAGUCCCAG